Molecule: transfer RNA, 70 nt
Filed under: Ara chloropterus (red-and-green macaw)
Lineage: Eukaryota; Metazoa; Chordata; Aves; Psittaciformes; Psittacidae
Description: tRNA-Pro
Rfam family: tRNA
About the family: Transfer RNA (tRNA) molecules are approximately 80 nucleotides in length. Their secondary structure includes four short double-helical elements and three loops (D, anti-codon, and T loops).
Source: RNAcentral
CAGAAAAUAGUUUAACAUAAAAUGUCAGCUUUGGGAGUUGGUGAUAGAGGUUUAAGCCCUCUUUUUCUGA